Molecule: long non-coding RNA, 329 nt
Filed under: Homo sapiens (human)
Lineage: Eukaryota; Metazoa; Chordata; Mammalia; Primates; Hominidae
Description: non-protein coding lnc-MYBPC3-2:1
Source: RNAcentral
GGCAGCAUACGCCUGUACUCCCAGCUGCUCAGGAGGCUGAGGCAGGAGAAUUGCUUGAACCCAGGAGCCCAGGAGGCGGAGGUAGCAGUGAGCCAGCAUCCUGCCACUGCACUCCAGCCUGGGCCACAGAGCGAGACUCCGUCUCCAAAAAAAAAAAAAGAAAGAAAAUAGUGUUUCACUGAGUUACACAGCUCUUCCAAAUGUUGACAUAUUUUGUAAUAUUAAAUCAAUGUUUAAAAAAUCACAUUCAUUAAUAUCACCACCAAUCUCAUUAGAAAAGUCUUUAAAUAUUGGGAAGCUUCAAGUUCAAAACUCUGCCAAAAUUCUUA